Molecule: ribosomal RNA, 480 nt
Filed under: uncultured bacterium
Lineage: Bacteria
Description: partial 16S ribosomal RNA
Rfam family: Bacterial small subunit ribosomal RNA
Source: RNAcentral
GACGAACGCUGGCGGCGCGCCUAACACAUGCAAGUCGAGCGAUGAAAUUUUAACCGAUCUCUUCGGAGAGAAGAUAAAAUGGAUUAGCGGCGGCCGGGUGAGUAACACGUGAGAAACCUGCCUUUCACAAGGGGAUAGCCUCGGGAAACCGGGAUUAAUACCCCAUGACACAUUUACUUCGCAUGGAAGAAAUGUUAAAACUCCGGUGGGGAAAGAUGGUCUCGCGCCUGAUUAGCUAGUUGGUGGGGUAACGGCCCACCAAGGCCAUGAUCAGUAACCGGCCUGAGAGGGUGAACGGUCACAUUGGAACUGAGACACGGUCCAGACUCCUACGGGAGGCAGCAGUGGGGAAUAUUGCACAAUGGAGGAAACUCUGAUGCAGCGACGCCGCGUGAGCGAUGAAGGCUUUCGAGUCGUAAAGCUCUGUCCUAUGGGAAGAUAAUGACGGUACCAUAGGAGGAAGCCCCGGCUAACUACGUG